UUAAGCUACAAAGAGCGUAGGGUGAAUAGCUAGGCACCAAGAGCCGAAGAAGGACGUGAUAAGCUGCGAAAAGCUUUGGGCAGGAGCAAAUAUCCAUUAAUCCAGAGAUAUCCGAAUGAGGGAACUCACUUAGAGCAAACAAUCUAAGUAUCCAUAUAUGAGUAAAGUAGUAUAUGAGAAGGGAACGUGGGGAACUGAAACAUCUUAGUACCCACAGGAAAAGAAAGAAAAAUCGAUUCCUAGAGUAGUGGCGAGCGAAAUAGGAAGAGCCUAAACCAUGAGUAGUAAUACACAUGGGGUUCGGACCACGAUAUAUUAUCAAUAAUUCUAAUAGAAAUGUUUUGGAAAAGCAUACCAUAGACGGUGAAAGUCCAGUAUAUGAAAGAAAAGUUGAGAUUAGUGGUAUCCAGAGUAGUACGAGACACGAGAAAUCUCGUAUGAAUAAGCGGGGACCAUCCCGUAAGGCUAAAUACUACUUGGUGACCGAUAGUGAACUAGUACCGUGAGGGAAAGGUGAAAAGAACCCCGGGAGGGGAGUGAAAUAGAACAUGAAACCCUAUGUUUACAAGCAGACAAAGCACUUUAUAUGUGCGAUGUCGUACUUUUUGUAGAACGGUCCAGCGAGUUAUUGUGUAUGGCGAGGUUAAGUAUUACGUAAGGUACGGAGCCGAAGCGAAAGCGAGUCUGAAAAGGGCGAUAUAAGUCAUGCAUAAUAGACCCGAAACUGAGUGACCUAUCCAUGAGCAGGAUGAAGCUAGAGUAAAAUCUAGUGGAGGUCCGAACUGAUUGUCGUUAAAAAGGCACCGGAUGACUUGUGGAUAGCGGAGAAAUUCCAAUCGAACUCAGAGAUAGCUGGUUCUCCUCGAAAUAGCUUUAGGGCUAGCCUUGAGGGAAUACAUAUGGGGGUAGAGCACUGAAUGAGGUAGGGGCCUAACCAGGUUACCAAACUCUAUCAAACUCCGAAUACCAUAUGUAAAUACUCAGGAGUCAGACUGCGGGAGCUAAGUUCCGUGGUCAAAAGGAAAACAGUCCAGAUCGUCAAUUAAGGUCCCAAAGAUAUAGCUAAGUGGAAAACGAUGUGAUUUUGCAUAAACAACCAGGAUGUUGGCUCAGAAGCAGCCACUCAUUCAAAGAGUGCGUAAUAGCUCACUGGUCGAGUGAAGUUGCGCGGAAAAUUACCGGGGCUAAGCUAUACACCGAAAUUGCGGAUUUACAUUUGAAAGACAAUGUAAGUGGUAGAGGAGCAUUCUGUAGUAGGAAGAAGCAUGACCGUAAGGACAUGUGGACGAAGCAGAAGAGAGAAUGCUGGAAUAAGUAGCGAGAGGAUGGUGAGAAUCCAUCCCGUCGAAAAUCUAAGGUUUCCCAGGGAAGGUUCGUCCGCCUGGGGUAAGUCGGGACCUAAGGAGAGGCCGAAAGGCGUAUCUGAUGGAUAGCAGGUUGAAAUUCCUGCACUACGAAUAUACUUAAAAGAUUCAAGGGACGCAGAAGUGGAAGAUAACCAAGUAAGAGGAAAAGCUUGGCUCGCAAGAGGGAGUGAAAAUUAAAAGUAACGAAGUAUCAAGAAGCACGCUGACGAGAAAAGCUUGAAGAUAUUGUAUAUAAGUACCCGUACCGCAAACCGACACAGGUAGAUGAGGAGAGGAUCCUAAGACGAGCGGGAGAAGCAUUGUUAAGGAACUCGGCAAACUAACCCCGUAACUUCGGAAUAAGGGGUGCUGAUGUAACAGUCAGUCGCAGAGAAAAGGCCCAAGCAACUGUUUAACAAAAACAUAGGUUUCUGCUAAAUCGAAAGAUGAAGUAUAGGAGCUGACGCCUGCCCAGUGCUGGAAGGUUAAGGGAAAGAGUUAGGGUUAAACCGAAGCUUAGAACUGAAGCCCCAGUGAACGGCGGCCGUAACUAUAACGGUCCUAAGGUAGCGAAAUUCCUUGUCAGGUAAGUUCUGACCC
RNAcentral lists this ribosomal RNA (1946 nucleotides) under human gut metagenome. RNAcentral's name for it is "bacterial LSU rRNA". It matches the Rfam family "Bacterial large subunit ribosomal RNA", at positions 3 to 1989 of the family's 2925-position model. The record is from RNAcentral.